Molecule: transfer RNA, 74 nt
Filed under: Candidatus Omnitrophota bacterium
Lineage: Bacteria; Pseudomonadati; Candidatus Omnitrophota
Description: Candidatus Omnitrophica bacterium tRNA-Arg
Rfam family: tRNA
About the family: Transfer RNA (tRNA) molecules are approximately 80 nucleotides in length. Their secondary structure includes four short double-helical elements and three loops (D, anti-codon, and T loops).
Source: RNAcentral
GCGCCCAUAGCUCAACUGGAUAGAGCACUAGCCUACGGAGCUAGGUGUUGGUGGUUCAAAUCCACCUGGGCGCA